GGAGAGGUGGCAGAGUGGUUGAAUGCGGCGGUCUUGAAAACCGUUGUCCGUGUAACGCGGACCGGGGGUUCGAAUCCCUCCCUCUCCG
Molecule: transfer RNA, 88 nt
Filed under: Ignavibacteriota bacterium
Lineage: Bacteria; Pseudomonadati; Ignavibacteriota
Also listed under: 3 other names
Description: tRNA-Ser
Rfam family: tRNA
About the family: Transfer RNA (tRNA) molecules are approximately 80 nucleotides in length. Their secondary structure includes four short double-helical elements and three loops (D, anti-codon, and T loops).
Source: RNAcentral